Molecule: ribosomal RNA, 215 nt
Filed under: Campeiostachys nutans
Lineage: Eukaryota; Viridiplantae; Streptophyta; Magnoliopsida; Poales; Poaceae
Description: Elymus nutans partial small subunit ribosomal RNA
Rfam family: Eukaryotic small subunit ribosomal RNA (bases 37-215)
Source: RNAcentral
GGACCAUCAUGUCGGUCGUGCCUCGGUACGUACUGGUAUUGUUGGUUUCUCCCUUCUGACGAACCAUGAUGUCAUUUAUUCGGUGUUGUGGGGAAUCAGGACUGUUACUUUGAAAAAAUUAGAGUGCUUAAAGCAGGCUAUUGCCUGAAUACAUUAGCAUGGAAUAAUGAAAUAGGACGUUUGAUUCUAUUUUGUUGGUUUCUAGGAUUGACGUA